UUCCCUUGCGGACCAAGCGUAAACCGACAUGCGGUUUAUGGGCUGUUGGUUAAGAAAUCGUAAGUUGGGCCUCGAGUCGUGUCUUAGGUCCCUUUGGGCCGUCUUUCGACUCGAAGCGUUUAUUAUAGCUUCUUUCGAUAAAGAAUGAACUUUCCGCAGUUUUUACGGUAAAGUUUGAUUGAUAACAUAGAAAUGGCGGGGAACGUGAGAUGGGUUCGCUACGGUAUUCGGGAGAUAGCAUCGAAGGGUAGACGAGAAUGCAUGGACUAGUGUCGUAUCGACGUUUUGGGAAACCUCGGUUGCUACGUAGCGACCGAAC
RNAcentral lists this long non-coding RNA (319 nucleotides) under Brassica napus (rape). RNAcentral's name for it is "long non-coding RNA (BNAP_LNC025325)". Lineage: Eukaryota; Viridiplantae; Streptophyta; Magnoliopsida; Brassicales; Brassicaceae. The record is from RNAcentral.